GGUGUGUGUAGGUGUGGGUGUAGGUGUGUGUGUAGGUGUGUGUGUAGGUGUGGGUGUGUGUGUAGGUGUAGGUGUGUGUGUAAGUGUAGGUGUGUGUGUGUGUGUGUGUGUGUGUGUGUGUGUGUGUGUGUGUGUGUGUGUGUGUAGGUGUGAGUGUAAGUGUAGGUGUGUCUAGGUGUGGGUGUAGGUGUGUGUGUAGGUGUGUGUGUAGGUGUGGGUGUGUGUGUAGGUGUAGGUGUGUGUGUAGGUGUAGGUGUGUGUGUGUGUGUGUGUGUGUGUGUGUGUGUAGGUGUGUGUGUAGGUGUAGGUGUGUGUGUGUGUGUAGGUGUGUGUGUAGGUGUGUGUGUGUGUGUGUGCGUGUGUGUGUGUGUGUGUGUGUGUAGGUGUGUGUGUAGGAGUAGGUGUGGGUGUGGGUGUGUGUGUGUGUGUGUGUGUGUAGGUGUGUGUGUAGGUGUAGGUGUGGGUGUGUGUGUGUGUGUGUAGGUGUGUGUGUGUGUGUGUGUGUGUAGGUGUGUAUAGGUGUAGGUGUGUGUGUAGG
This is a long non-coding RNA of Clupea harengus (Atlantic herring), 538 nucleotides long. Lineage: Eukaryota; Metazoa; Chordata; Actinopteri; Clupeiformes; Clupeidae. The record is from Ensembl.